UGCAUUCACUACUGUAAGUCGCUCUGGAUAAGAGCGUCUGCUAAAUGACUUUAU
Molecule: non-coding RNA, 54 nt
Organism: Salmo salar (Atlantic salmon)
Lineage: Eukaryota; Metazoa; Chordata; Actinopteri; Salmoniformes; Salmonidae
Source: Rfam